This 1073-nucleotide long non-coding RNA is filed under the name Daucus carota (carrot). Its description in RNAcentral is "long non-coding RNA (DCAR_LNC004935)". Lineage: Eukaryota; Viridiplantae; Streptophyta; Magnoliopsida; Apiales; Apiaceae. The record is from RNAcentral.
CCAAUCCUAACCACUCAUUUUAUAUCUUAUAUCAAUCUCUCAUCAUACAUUAAUUUUUAAUAUUUAAAUAUUUUAUCACUGUCUUUAUUCUAAUUCCACCACCUGCCACCUCCAACCACUGCCGACCAUCAUUUCUGGAGACCACCAGAAAAUCACCACCGUCAAACAUAAAAUCACCACCGUCAAACCAAAAAUCACCACCGGAAAACUAAAAAUCACUUCUGGAAAAAUAAAAAUUACCACCAGAAUAUGAAAACUACUACACCCAGCCAUUAUUCAUGCCCACCAAAUCCGGCCACCAACAUCGUUUAUAAACUCCGGUCAUCAACAUCAUAAAAAUAAUCACCAGAUUUUACUGGAAAUCGUAACAAUAAUCAGUACGUACCACCACAUCACCACUAUCACCAUCUACAAACCACCACCACUUUCUACAAAUCCCCCAAAUCUGAAAAAUCACUGAUUACAAAACGAAAUCACUAAAAAGGAACUCCGGUCACCAACAUAAUAACAAUAAUCACCAAAAACGCCAUCAUUCAUCACCGCCAUAAGCAUCUAUACAAACCACCACCACCAUCUACAAACCCUCCAAAUCAGAAAAAUCACCGAUUACAAAAUAAAAUCACUAAAAGUGAAUAAAAAUGAAUAACCUUCUACUUGAUAAUUAAUGCUUGAGGUGUCAGGAAUUAAUUAGGGAGAUUGUAAUCACCAAAUGGAGGUCGGAGAGUCGCCGGAAUGCUCCACCGAUGGACUCUCGUUUGCGAGAGCGAGGAAGAGCAGAGGGGAGGCAGAAAGUGCGGGGAGAUAGGGAGGAGAUGAAAGGAGGAUGAGGUUUUGUAUAGUCAAGGAUGUGGAGUGGAGUUGCGAUGUCGCCGGCGGUGACAACGACACCGCGACAUCGGUGGUAGCAGCAAAGAAAGAGGCAGGAGGAAGAAGAGAUUGACGGGAAGGGGAGAGGGGAUUGCUUGCUGUUUGUGUAUGGCCGAGCCCACCGCAGCAGCGGCGGAGAGAGGGGGCUGAGCCAUUGACGGCGAUGACGGCAACAUGGGGUGGGGGUGGAGUUUUGAAGAGGUGAG